CUAGCGACUAUCGUGGCAUAUCAAUAAGCGGAGGAAAAGAAACUAACAAGGAUUCCCUUAGUAACGGCGAGUGAAGCGGGAAGAGCUCAAAUUUGAAAUCUUCAAGGUUCUACCUUGACGAAUUGUAGUUUAUAGAAGUGUUUUCUGUUAGUGGAGUGGCAAAAGUUCUUUGGAAUAGGACAUCAUAGAGGGUGAGAAUCCCGUAUUUGGUCAUUCCUCCUAGCGUUGUGAUACACUUUCAACGAGUCGGAUUGUUUGGGAAUGCAGUCCAAAAUGGGUGGUAAAUUUCAUCUAAAGCUAAAUAUUGGCGAGAGACCGAUAGCGAACAAGUACCGUGAGGGAAAGAUGGAAAGAACUUUGAAAAGAGAGUUAAACAGUACGUGAAAUUGUCAAAAGGGAAGCGUUUGACACCAGUGUUGUUUUUCCGAAAAUCAAUUACGAAUGUUUUGUUUUUAAGAAGUUAUGACUUCAUCGGCUUGCUUCUUUCUUUACGAAACUUUCUUAAUGCACUUUUCGGUUAACAAGUCAACAUCAAUUUCUUUUGUUGUAAAAGGGUAUGAGGAAGGUGGCUUUCUUUUCGGAGAAAGUGUUUAUAGCCUUGUGCCUCUGCAAUCGGAGAGAUUGAGGUCUGCAGCGUAGAUCCUUCGGGGUUAAAUACGUUUGUGCUAAGUUAUAGCUUUUCAUAGACAACUUGUUGACUAUGUUUAGUCUUGUAGCUUACUCGCUGACGCUAUUUUACCUACGCUUAGGAUGUUGAUAUGCAUGACUGAUAU
This 773-nucleotide ribosomal RNA is filed under the name uncultured Neocallimastigales. RNAcentral describes it as "partial large subunit ribosomal RNA". It matches the Rfam family "Eukaryotic large subunit ribosomal RNA", at positions 21 to 640 of the family's 3401-position model. The record is from RNAcentral. Lineage: Eukaryota; Fungi; Neocallimastigomycota; Neocallimastigomycetes; Neocallimastigales.